Molecule: long non-coding RNA, 2185 nt
Organism: Equus caballus (horse)
Lineage: Eukaryota; Metazoa; Chordata; Mammalia; Perissodactyla; Equidae
Source: Ensembl
CCUCCCAGUCCCUCUCUGGCCCAGAAGGCUUCCGGGAUAUUCACAUAUUCUGAAUCGCCCCCAAGUGCCAAAGUUGGGGAAGGAGGAGGAUAACAUUUUCCCGAGGAGGGACCUCUGACCCAGCUGCCUGGUCCAGAGCCCAUCACAUCAUAGCCUCCUUGAGCUUAAGAGCAUUAGACGGCAUUUGAGCACUAUGCCUGGGAGCCAAUUCAAACAGUGAAGCCACCAACAGAAAGCACAAAAGUGUGAAACACACAGCACUAAAUAGACCGUGAAGAUGGCACGUUCAUGGUGUGAGAGCUGAAACCAGGAGGUGGAAAGUUGCCUAGUGUGACAUCAGCCGGGAAGCAGCAUGCGGGUAAUUCAAAUUGUGUGUGGCUCUGUGCAUGACCUAGGAAGUCCCACCAGAAUUGGUUUUGGGACUGCAAGUAAAUUUUAGCAAGACGAUGAAUUCUCCCAUAUAGGCUUUGCGAAUAGUGACGAUCAACUGUACACACGCACACACACACACACACACACACACAUACACAGACACACACACACACACAGAGGGACUCUCAACCGCCUGUGUGUAUCCACAACCCAACAUGAGUGACAAAAACAUCAUGGACAUCUGAGAGCCCUCUGUGGAUCCCUCCCAGAGAGAACUGUGCCGCUUAGUUUGGGCUGUUUUUACACGGGGCCAUGCCAGGUUUUCUGGGACACGGCACCUCCAAGCCCUGUUGAAAUGAGCAGCUCCAUCCAUUCUUUAGUUUGGAGGCUCCCACUCCCCAGAGAUGCUGAUCCACUUGACCUGGGGUGUGGCUUGAGCACCCUAUGUUUAAAAGCUUACAGGUCAGUCUACUGUGUAUUUGAUGCUGAGAACCGCAGAUUCCUUGAGCAGUCUUGCUCUAAGCCCUGGAGAACACACAGGAAUGUUGUAUUAACCACGUCUUUUUAUUCUGUCUUUUCGAUGCUUUGACAUCUUGGGGACUUGCUUAGGGAGACUGCCCCUCCCAGGGCUAGCUAAUUCCUAGAGACAGCAAGCAGUUUGCCUGUGAGUGCGCCUUUCAUGUGCAAACCAACCAAUCCAGAGCCCACAGCCCAACCAUCUCCUUCACCGAGCUCUUAUCCUCAGGGCCAAUGUCCACCUCCUCAGUCACCCCCGGGCCGGGUACCAGACAACCAGGGACAGCCCCUGUGCCCCAGAGCCUGCGGAAAUUGUUCAAACUAGCAAUCCUAAGCCUGCUUACCCUGCCUCUCCCACUGUUUCCUGAGGGGACCACAAUAAAGGCUGUUGCCCACAUUUUCCCCUCUCUCUCUCUGCCUCUGAUGGACCCUGGUGUGUCCUCAUGUGGCCCCCGUGACAUGGUGUGGCCCCUCCUCUUGGGAACUGUGAGAAACAAACUGUCUUUUUGAUGGCCAUCUUCUCCUGACCUGUUGGCCUCACCAUCCCUGGAUAAUAAUGACCCUAUAUUUUAAAACCGACCUCUCCUCUCAUUCUUCUCAGUGGGAACUCUCAGUGCUGUUCCAUGGUCUGGCAUUUUUCAGUCAUCCGUGCAAAUACUCCCUUCUCCAUUCUGGUGGUUAAUGAAGAACUGAGCAUAAUUGUUUUCUCCUGCUCUGCUGGGACAAAUUUUAGAUGUAGGGCACAUGAUUCCCGCUGCAAUUAAUUUUCUCUGCAGUUGAAAGGGAAAGCUGAAAGAGGCUCUGUCUCUUGACAAUUAACUCAUCAAUUCUUGAGUCAAGAGUGCUGGUGGGCUCACCAGAGAAUGACACACUCCAGGGAGGCAUCAUCAGGAGUCACUGUGAGAUGGGGAGAGCUGAUGGGUCUGGUCACAGCCCUGGCUCAGUGGCCUUCAGAGCGAGGUGGGGAAAGAACCAGCAGAAGACACGUGUCUCUCACCUUUGUCUUGUGCGAACAGGACGCAUAGCACUGUGCAACGUUAGGGCCUGUUUUUCCAGCCUGCAUAGUAGAUAUCUGGAUAUUUUGCAUCAUCUUUCCACUUUCAGUUCACAGCAGUGUGUGUUUUUGGUGAGGCAGGCUCUUCAGAUAUGAUGGAACCAGUUCCACACCCGCGUGUGUCCUCGCACAGACAUGUAUGCAAGUGUUGAUGGUAUCAGCAGGUGAGCUUUGGGCAGGUGUAUUGGUGAGAGACUAUCUCUUUUCUUUUUGGAAUCCCAGACUCUCCAUAUUUAUGUAAAU